UGUGGUUUUCCCUUCGGGGAACCGGGACACAGGUGCUGCAUGGCUGUCGUCAGCUCGUGUCGUGAGAUGUUGGGUUAAGUCCCGCAACGAGCGCAACCCUCGCCCUUAGUUGCCAGCAUUUGGUUGGGCACUCUAAGGGGACUGCCGGUGAUAAGCCGAGAGGAAGGUGGGGAUGACGUCAAGUCCUCAUGGCCCUUACGGGCUGGGCUACACACGUGCUACAAUGGUGGUGACAGUGGGCAGCGAGCACGCGAGCGUGAGCUAAUCUCCAAAAGCCAUCUCAGUUCGGAUUGCACUCUGCAACUCGAGUGCAUGAAGUUGGAAUCGCUAGUAAUCGCAGAACAGCAGGCUGCGGUGAAUACGUUCCCGGGCCUUGUACACACCGCCCGUCACGGCAUGGGAGUUGGUUUUACCCGAAGACGGUGCGCUAACCCGCAAGGGAGGCAGCCGGCCACGGUAGGAUCAGCGACUGGGCCGAAGUCGUAACAAGGUAGCCGUAA
RNAcentral lists this ribosomal RNA (500 nucleotides) under uncultured Alphaproteobacteria bacterium. RNAcentral's name for it is "bacterial SSU rRNA". It matches the Rfam family "Bacterial small subunit ribosomal RNA", at positions 1007 to 1505 of the family's 1533-position model. Lineage: Bacteria; Pseudomonadati; Pseudomonadota; Alphaproteobacteria. The record is from RNAcentral.